RNAcentral lists this long non-coding RNA (1066 nucleotides) under Marmota monax (woodchuck). The record is from RNAcentral. Lineage: Eukaryota; Metazoa; Chordata; Mammalia; Rodentia; Sciuridae.
GGAGGAUCCCAGGUUCAAGGCCAGCCUGGAAAAAUCAGUGAGACUAUGUCUCAAAAUUAAAAGGGCUGGGGAAUCUAGCCCAGGGGUAGAGUGCCUCUGGGUCCCAUUCCCCAGUACCACCCAAAACCAAAAAAUAUUCCUAUAAAUGGAAGAGAAAAAUUCUAAGAUCCUGAAAAGAAAAAUGGGCAAAGAAAAUGACAGGUGGAAAAGGAAUUUAGAAUAGUUCCUAAACAUAUGGAGACAGUCAUUCAUGAUGGCAGAAAUACCAAUUGACAAAAUAAUUAAGUAUGAUAGCAUACUACUUGACAGGAAGAAAAGCAUCUUCAUAUUUUUUUAGAAAUUAAUACCACUUCUGUAGAGAACAAUCUGGCAGUGGUUGUCAGAAAUUUAAAUGUAUAUAUCCCUUUACCUAGUAAUUUCUCUUUUGGGAAUGUAUUCUGUAUAGAUACUCAAAUAUGGGUAAAAUGACUUCUGUAGAGAAGUAUGGAAUUUCACUUGAUUUCUAGUAACAGAAAGUAGCAAAAUAGUAAAUAACUACCCAGAGUGCCUAAUAGAUUAUGACAAAUCAAUACUAAGAAGCCAUAAAAGGGGGAUUUGUAUAUGUAUUAAUGUGGGAUCAUCUUUAAGGUAUAUUGUAUAGUGAACAUGCAACAUUCCCAAUAAUAUCCAUCUUAUGCUUAUAGAAUUGAUAUAUGUUUGCACUUGUGAAUGCAUUAAGUGUCUUUGGAAGUAUACCUAAAAGACUAGGAAGUGUUUUGGGAAAUACAAAUAGGUGCCAGAGGGAGAAAAAGACACCCUUUGCUUUUUAUGAGUUUGGGUUCUGUACCAUGUAGUAAUUUUGAAGUGAUUUUGCUAUGUGUAUUUUACUUGUUGUAGUGGUUUUAUGAAUUCCUUUCUCAUUUUUCGAUCAACCUGAAUCCUUGGAUAAACCCUUCAAUAUCAUAAUGUUAUAUAGUUCUGUGUUGGGAAUGAAGUAUGUCAAAAUUUGAAAAAAAAAUGGAAAAUGCAAUCAUAUCAUAAUAAAUCUUUACCAUAUAGAAUUUAUAAAUGCUGUUUUCAUAUUGGC